This 849-nucleotide ribosomal RNA is filed under the name Nervilia nipponica. RNAcentral's name for it is "eukaryotic LSU rRNA". The stretch from base 355 to 510 matches the Rfam family "5.8S ribosomal RNA". Lineage: Eukaryota; Viridiplantae; Streptophyta; Magnoliopsida; Asparagales; Orchidaceae. The record is from RNAcentral.
UGUCGGUCGCGGAGAUGCGGGCGGUACGCCGCCCGUGACUCCACGAGAAGUCCCAUGAACCUUAUCAUUUAGAGGAAGGAGAAGUCGUAACAAGGUUUCCGUAGGUGAACCUGCGGAAGGAUCAUUGUCGAGACCGCUAGAAUAGAUGGAACGAUUCGGAGAACACGUGAAGCAUGCGUCGGCGAACGUCGGCGCGAGGGAACCAUCGCCGUCAUCGCCACGCCUCGGCGGGGCGCGAUGGGUGGCGGUGCGAAACAUGAGCCGGCGCAGAAUUGCGCCAAGGGAAUAUGCGAGCACGAACCGCCCGGCGGUUUCGUGGAGUGGCGCGACAUUUCGCGCCCGAUGGAUCGACAUGACUCUCGGCAAUGGAUAUCUCGGCUCUCGCAUCGAUGAAGAGCGCAGCGAAAUGCGAUAUGUGGUGCGAAUUGCAGAAUCCCGUGAACCAUCGAGUCUUUGAACGCAAGUUGCGCCCGAGGCCCACCGGCCGAGGGCACGCCCGCCUGGGCGCCAAGCAUCGCGACACUCCAUGCAAAGGCCCUCCAAUCUUCAGAUGGGUUGGCCCCGGCACGGACGUGGAGAGUGGCCCGCCGUGCCCAUUGGCGCGGCGGGCUGAAGGGAGGGCCAUCGUCUUGUGGCGACGGACGUCGAGGGGUGGAUGCUAUCCGCGAGCACGACGUGCGCCGCCGCGAGCCAUGCCCUUGGAGCUCAUGCGCUCCACCGAUCCCUGCCCGUGCACCGCGUCGCGUUCGGUGCUCGGACCGCGACCCCAGGAUGGGCGGGGCCACCCGCCGAGUUUAAGCAUAUCAAUAAGCGGAGGAGAAGAAACUUACGAGGAUUCCCCUAGUAACG